UGGGGAAUAUUGGGCAAUGGACGAAAGUCUGACCCAGCGACGCCGCGUGAGGGAAGAAGGUCUUCGGAUUGUAAACCUCUGUUGUAAGGGAAGAAGAAAGUGACGGUACCUUACGAGGAAGCCACGGCUAACUACGUGCCAGCAGCCGCGGUAAUACGUAGGUGGCAAGCGUUAUCCGGAAUUACUGGGUGUAAAGGGUGUGUAGGCGGGACUGCAAGUCAGAUGUGAAAACUAUGGGCUCAACCCAUAGCCUGCAAUUGAAACUGUGGUUCUUGAGUGUCGGAGAGGUAAAUGGAAUUCCCAGUGUAGCGGUGAAAUGCGUAGAUAUUGGGAGGAACACCAGUGGCGAAGGCGGCUCUCUGGACUGUAACUGACGCUGAGGCACGAAAGCGUGGGGAGCAAACAGG
This 407-nucleotide ribosomal RNA is filed under the name uncultured prokaryote. Its description in RNAcentral is "bacterial SSU rRNA". It matches the Rfam family "Bacterial small subunit ribosomal RNA", at positions 355 to 776 of the family's 1533-position model. RNAcentral also lists the same sequence under 1 other name. The record is from RNAcentral.